Molecule: long non-coding RNA, 779 nt
Filed under: Musa acuminata (dwarf banana)
Lineage: Eukaryota; Viridiplantae; Streptophyta; Magnoliopsida; Zingiberales; Musaceae
Description: long non-coding RNA (MACU_LNC000315)
Source: RNAcentral
CCACCCCCAAAAAACAAUAAAUUAGUAUGAUCAAAGUAGCCUUGCACGCAAUCUGAUGUCCAGGUGGGCCUUCUUUGAACCAGACGUAUGCACCCAAACGAGAAAUAUUCCGCCGGUUCGACCAUGCCCUCCACAUGUUUGAUGGAAUGCCGAGCUGGGAUGGUCGUCCCGUGCUAGAGCUUCGCUGCUGUGAGGCACUCCUCCGUCGGCACGUCGCAUGUCACACUGCCCGCAGCCCAUACCGGAGGGUGCACGCGGAGUUGAAGUGCGAUUCUCGUCAAACAGCAUCACCUUUUGUUCUGCCAACCGGUAUUCUGCCCAUCUCCUCCUAACAUUUUGUUAGUUUGGGGAAAAGAACUGUAUUGGCUUCAGAUUUGGGGUAAGUUGGAAGUAUUUUUGUUGCUUAAACACACUUCAAAUCUGAAUAACAGCAGCCAUUUCAUAGAUUCACAUAAGUUGAGGGAGAAAUCAUGUUCACUAAUUUGUAUGCAAUUUACAUGUUUGAUUAAAUGCUUUUCUAUCUCCACUGUUGCUUGAAUGCAUACUUUACUACAACACAAGGUUUUGCAGCUAAACAAACAUCAAAAUACUGGGCAACCUUCAAUAACAACACCCUUGGCUGUCGGGCAGGAAGCCAGAGGACACCCAUCCAAGUCAUUUCCCGGCCAACUGAGAUUGACGUUCUCCAGCCCCAAGCACAGGUACAGCAACACUCCCAUGAAUGCCAGCCCAGCGUCCAGAGCACCUGAGAGCACAUAAUUGUGCCGCUGCCACCAAUC